RNAcentral lists this ribosomal RNA (497 nucleotides) under uncultured bacterium. RNAcentral's name for it is "partial 16S ribosomal RNA". It matches the Rfam family "Bacterial small subunit ribosomal RNA", at positions 28 to 507 of the family's 1533-position model. The record is from RNAcentral.
GAUGAACGCUGGCGGCGUGCCUAAUACAUGCAAGUCGAGCGAACAGACGAGGAGCUUGCUCCUCUGACGUUAGCGGCGGACGGGUGGGUAACACGUGGAUAACCUACCUAUAAGACUGGGAUAACUUCGGGAAACCGGAGCUAAUACCGGAUAAUGUAUUGAACCGCAUGGUUCAAUAGUGAAAGACGGUUUUGCUGUCACUUAUAGAUGGAUCCGCGCCGCAUUAGCUAGUUGGUAAGGUAACGGCUUACCAAGGCAACGAUGCGUAGCCGACCUGAAAGGGUGAUCGGCCACACUGGAACUGAGACACGGUCCAGACUCCUACGGGAGGCAGCAGUAGGGAAUCUUCCGCAAUGGGCGAAAGCCUGACGGAGCAACGCCGCGUGAGUGAUGAAGGUCUUCGGAUCGUAAAACUCUGUUAUUAGGGAAGAACAAAUGUGUAAGUAACUAUGCACGUCUUGACGGUACCUAAUCAGAAAGCCACGGCUAACUACGUG